CGCACAUUGCGCCCCUCGGUAUUCCGUGGGGCAUGCCUGUUCGAGCGUCAUUUACACCCUCAAGCUAUGCUUGGUGUUGGGCGUCUGUCCCGCUCUCGGAGCGCGGACUCGCCUCAAAGUCAUUGGCGGCGGUCGUGCCGGCUCCUCGCGCAGCACAUUUGCGCUUCUCGGAGGCCCGGCGGAUCAGCGUCCAGCAAGCUACUAUCAUGACUUGACCUCGGAUCAGGUAGGGAUACCCGCUGAACUUAA
This 249-nucleotide unclassified non-coding RNA is filed under the name Periconia homothallica. Its description in RNAcentral is "partial contains 5.8S ribosomal RNA, internal transcribed spacer 2, and large subunit ribosomal RNA". The record is from RNAcentral. Lineage: Eukaryota; Fungi; Ascomycota; Dothideomycetes; Pleosporales; Periconiaceae.